AUGGCUGACGCUGGUCAAAGUGUAGUAUCUGUUCUUAUCAGCUUAAUAUCUGAUACGGGUUGUAUUUGGACCAAAGAUAAUAAACUUAUUUUUGCAAGUUGGAGGAGUGCUUGAAGCCUGCUUCACCUCCACCGCGGGUCGGCCCGAUUUUGCACUAUGUCUUCGGGAUCGGCCCACGUUUU
RNAcentral lists this small nuclear RNA (182 nucleotides) under Dermacentor silvarum. RNAcentral's name for it is "U2 spliceosomal RNA". It matches the Rfam family "U2 spliceosomal RNA". Rfam says of the family: U2 is a small nuclear RNA (snRNA) component of the spliceosome (involved in pre-mRNA splicing). Complementary binding between U2 snRNA (in an area lying towards the 5' end but 3' to hairpin I) and the branchpoint sequence (BPS) of the intron results the bulging out of an unpaired adenosine, on the BPS, which initiates a nucleophilic attack at the intronic 5' splice site, thus starting the first of two transesterification reactions that mediate splicing. Lineage: Eukaryota; Metazoa; Arthropoda; Arachnida; Ixodida; Ixodidae. The record is from RNAcentral.